GACGAACGCUGGCGGCGUGCCUAAUACAUGCAAGUAGAACGCUGAAGCUUGGUGCUUGCACCGAGCGGAUGAGUUGCGAACGGGUGAGUAACGCGUAGGUAACCUGCCUGGUAGCGGGGGAUAACUAUUGGAAACGAUAGCUAAUACCGCAUAAGAGUAGAUGUUGCAUGACAUUUGCUUAAAAGGUGCAAUUGCAUCACUACCAGAUGGACCUGCGUUGUAUUAGCUAGUUGGUGAGGUAACGGCUCACCCAGGCAACGAUACAUAGCCGACCUGCGAGGGUGAUCGGCCACACUGGGACUGAGACACGGCCCAGACUCCUACGGGAGGCAGCAGUAGGGAAUCUUCGGCAAUGGACGGAAGUCUGACCGAGCAACGCCGCGUGAGUGAAGAAGGUUUUCGGAUCGUAAAGCUCUGUUGUAAGAGAAGAACGAGUGUGAGAGUGGAAAGUUCACACUGUGACGGUAUCUUACCAGAAAGGGACGGCUAACUACGUG
This 497-nucleotide ribosomal RNA is filed under the name uncultured bacterium. RNAcentral describes it as "partial 16S ribosomal RNA". It matches the Rfam family "Bacterial small subunit ribosomal RNA", at positions 28 to 507 of the family's 1533-position model. The record is from RNAcentral.